CCGGAGAUGGAUUUCUGAGACANGGAAUACAGGCCCUACGGGGUGCAGCAGGGCGCGAACACUUUACAAUGCGGGAAGCCGCGAUAAGGGAACCCCGAGUGCCAGCAUCAAAUGUUGGGCUGUCCGGAUGAUUAAAAAUCAUUUGUUAGCAAGGGCCGGGCAAGACCGGUGCCAGCCGCCGCGGUAACACCGNCGGCCCGAGUGGUAGCCGUUUUUAUUGGGUCUAAAGGGUCCGUAGCCGGCCUGAUAAGUCCUUUGGGAAAUCUGGCAGCUUAACUGUCAGGCUUCUAAGGGAUACUGUCAGGCUUGGGACCGGAAGAGGUAAGGGGUACUCCAGGGGUAGGAGUGAAAUCUUGUAAUACCCUGGGGGACCAUCUGUGGCGAAGGCGCCUUACCAGAACGGGUCCGACGGUGAGGGACGAAAGCUAGGGGAGCAAACCGGAUUAGAUACCCGGGUAGUCCUAGCUGUAAACGNAGCUCGNCUGAGGUGUCNA
Molecule: ribosomal RNA, 494 nt
Filed under: uncultured archaeon
Lineage: Archaea
Description: bacterial SSU rRNA
Rfam family: Archaeal small subunit ribosomal RNA
Source: RNAcentral